Molecule: microRNA precursor, 95 nt
Filed under: Octodon degus (degu)
Lineage: Eukaryota; Metazoa; Chordata; Mammalia; Rodentia; Octodontidae
Description: miRNA (ENSODEG00000021881.1)
Source: RNAcentral
UUCCUCCAUGCACUGGUGGGCAUCUAGGCUGCUUCUGUAACUUAGGUAUUGUGAAUAAUGAAGCAAUAACACGGGUGUGCAGGUGUCUCUCCUGU